This is a long non-coding RNA of Homo sapiens (human), 2575 nucleotides long. RefSeq lists it as uncharacterized. The transcript has 2 exons. Lineage: Eukaryota; Metazoa; Chordata; Mammalia; Primates; Hominidae. The record is from RefSeq and is a predicted model, not a curated record.
UUGGAGCCUUCAGUGGCAUUUUAAAUUUGCAGUUGUUAAAAGUCUGUUUCUACUUUUCCAAAAUCAGUUCUGGGUAUUGAAGCAUUUCUAUGUAUCUGCAAAAAUGGCUUAAAUUGAUCUCUAGAUACAAUUUUACAUGUUAGGAGAAAGGAAUUUUUUUUUUUUUAACUUUUAGCCCAUCAGAGAGUUUGGGGGAAGUUCUGGGGGAUUCACAAUAUUAGCCCAGUUCAAGGCUCUGAGAAGCCACGUAGUAGAGGAAACUUUAUUUGACCAAUUCAGUAUUUCUGAAAUUAUUUUAACCACAGUUUCUUCUGUAACAUUGGUUAAAUUAAACACACUUAGGAAGCUGCUUGCCUAGUAAUUUAACGUUUCACUUUUUUGUCAGAGAGUAUUUUCUCUUGAGCAGAGCAGGAAGCUCCAUAACAGUGUUGACUCAUCUCAUUGUAAUUGGCUGAAACCUCAGAAAGAGGUGUCGUGCCCCUCCCACCCCUUCCACAUUUACCUGGAUUUUUGCCACUCGCCUUUAACAGGUGGAUUUCCCUCAUGGAAUUGGGUUGAGGACUAGACCCCAGAGCUGGGGCCUGCUGGGGUGGGGCUUGAGGCAGCAAGGGCAGCAAAAAAAACAGCUGGAGCUGCGGUCCUGGACGGUUCCGGGACCCAGAGGCCAAGAGAUCCAGAGUCGGGAUAACAAGGGGGACCACCAGGAAGCAGUCCUGGCAUAGCAGGAUGUUUUUGGUCUGUUUUCCACUGCCAUUCCCUCAUUCAUUCAUUCAUUCUGUGGGCUGAUGAAGCUCGUUUUAUGUGUCAGGUGCCAUGUUGGUCACUCAUUCAUUCAUUCUGUCGGCUGAUGAAGCUCGCUUUAUGUGCCAGGUGCCAUGUUGGUCCCUCAUUCAUUCAUUCAUUCAUUCAUUCUGUGGGCUGGUGAAGCUCACUUUAUGUGCCAGGUGCCAUGUUGGUCCCUCAUUCAUUCAUUCAUUCAUUCAUUCUGUGGGCUGGUGAAGCUCACUUUAUGUGCCAGGUGCCAUGUUGGUCCCUCAUUCAUUCAUUCAUUCAUUCAUUCAUUCUGUGGGCUGGUGAAGCUCACUUUAUGUGUCAGGUGCCAUGUUGGUCCCUCAUUCAUUCAUUCAUUCAUUCUGUGGGCUGGUGAAGCUCACUUUAUGUGCCAGGUGCCAUGUUGGUCCCUCAUUCAUUCAUUCAUGCAUUCAUUCUGUGGGCUGGUGAAGCUCACUUUAUGUGCCAGGUGCCAUGUUGGUCCCUCAUUCAUUCAUUCAUUCAUUCUGUAGGCUGAUGAAGCUCAGUUUAUGUGCGAGGUGCCAUGUUGGUCCCUCAUUCAUUCAUUCAUUCAUUCUGUAGGCUGAUGAAGCUCGCUUUAUGUGCCAGGUGCCAUGUUGGUCCCUCAUUCAUUCAUUCAUUCAUUCUGUAGGCUGAUGAAGCUCACUUUAUGUGCCAGGUGCCAUGUUGGUCCCUCAUUCAUUCAUUCAUUCAUUCUGUAGGCUGAUGAAGCUCACUUUAUGUGCCAGGUGCCAUGUUGGUCCCUCAUUCAUUCAUUCAUUCAUUCUGUAGGCUGAUGAAGCUCAGUUUAUGUGCGAGGUGCCAUGUUGGUCCCUCAUUCAUUCAUUCAUUCAUUCUGUAGGCUGAUGAAGCUCGCUUUAUGUGCCAGGUGCCAUGUUGGUCCCUCAUUCAUUCAUUCAUUCAUUCUGUAGGCUGAUGAAGCUCGCUUUAUGUGCCAGGUGCCAUGUUGGUCCCUCAUUCAUUCAUUCAUUCAUUCUGUAGGCUGAUGAAGCUCACUUUAUGUGCCAGGUGCCAUGUUGGUCCCUCAUUCAUUCAUUCAUUCUGUGGGCUGGUGAAGCUCACUUUAUGUGCCAGGUGCCAUGUUGGGAGUGUUCCUCCUGGGCAUGGUACGUAGGCGUUGCCAUUGGGUCCACAAUGCGUGUCUUGUAAAAGUUCCACCCCGAUAGAAACAGGGCUCUGCUUUAGAGCAUACAGUCUGUACAAUCAGAAGUCACGUUGCUUUAGGAUGUUCCUGCUCAUGCCAGAUCCUCUGAAAGUGAUGAAAUGUUGGGAAGACAGUUUACAGUUUUCUGUUUUCUUCAGUGCCAUUGUUAGUACAAGGAAUAUAGUCCCUUUCAGUCUUCUUCAUAAUGAGUUUAGAGAAUUAAAAUAUUCCAUUUAACUUGUUUUCUUUUUUAAGUCUGUAGCUCUACAUAUUUAGAAAUUGUCUCUCCUAGGCAUUAGAAUUGGUACAGGUAUAGAUUAAUUAUAGAUCAUGUAAUAAAAAUUUGAGGAAAUGGAGAGUAAUUUUAAAAAACUUACUGAUGUGUUCUAGGUGGUUAAACUAUGUUUAUUUAACAUAUUUGAAAUUUCAUUUGUUUCCCUUAAAACAACCAAAUCGAGUUCAUUAGUCACAAAUAAGAUCUCAUACACUGCCUGUGAUUGCAGUGUUAAAAUGUAGUGUAGUUAGUGCCUUGAGUAAAGAUGAAGUUUUUUUCCACUGGUUGAGAAAUUUGCAGUUAGAAAAACAGUGCAUUCCAUUUGUGCAUGCCUGCGUACUUCAAUAAAGUAAUUCUGUCAUAGA